GAAGGUAUAGCACAGUGGUAGGGUUUGUGCUUAGCAUGCACAAGUUCCUGGGUUCGAUCCCUAGUACCAUUA
This 72-nucleotide transfer RNA is filed under the name Camelus bactrianus (Bactrian camel). It matches the Rfam family "tRNA". From Rfam's summary of the family: Transfer RNA (tRNA) molecules are approximately 80 nucleotides in length. Their secondary structure includes four short double-helical elements and three loops (D, anti-codon, and T loops). The record is from Rfam by way of RNAcentral. Lineage: Eukaryota; Metazoa; Chordata; Mammalia; Artiodactyla; Camelidae. RNAcentral also lists the same sequence under 2 other names.